UACGAAGGGGGCGAGCGUUGUUCGGAAUUACUGGGCGUAAAGGGCGCGUAGGCGGCCCCUUUUGUCGCGUGUGAAAGCCCCGGGCUCAACCUGGGAGGUGCGCGCGAAACGGGGGGGCUUGAGUUCGGGAGAGGAGCGUAGAAUUCCCAGUGUAGAGGUGAAAUUCGUAGAUAUUGGGAAGAACACCGGUGGCGAAGGCGGCGCUCUGGACCGAGACUGACGCUGAGGCGCGAAAGCGUGGGGAGCAAACAGG
Molecule: ribosomal RNA, 253 nt
Filed under: uncultured bacterium
Lineage: Bacteria
Description: partial 16S ribosomal RNA
Rfam family: Bacterial small subunit ribosomal RNA
Source: RNAcentral